GAGACGUAGCCAAGUGGUAAGGCAGAGGCCUGCAAAGCCUUUACCCCCGGUUCGAAUCCGGGCGUCUC
Molecule: transfer RNA, 68 nt
Filed under: bovine gut metagenome
Rfam family: tRNA
About the family: Transfer RNA (tRNA) molecules are approximately 80 nucleotides in length. Their secondary structure includes four short double-helical elements and three loops (D, anti-codon, and T loops).
Source: RNAcentral